Molecule: ribosomal RNA, 485 nt
Filed under: uncultured bacterium
Lineage: Bacteria
Description: bacterial SSU rRNA
Rfam family: Bacterial small subunit ribosomal RNA
Source: RNAcentral
CGACAGGCCUAACACAUGCAAGUCGAGGGGCGGCACAAGGAGCAAUCUGAGGUGGCGACCGGCGCACGGGUGAGUAACACGUAUGCAACCUGCCUGUAAGCGGGGAAUAACCCGUUGAAAGACGGACUAAUACCGCAUAAUACUAAAUUACUGCAUGGUAAUUUAUUUAAACAUUUAUGGCUUACAGAUGGGCAUGCGCAUGAUUAGCUAGUUGGAGAGGUAACGGCUCCCCAAGGCAACGAUCAUUAGGGGUUCUGAGAGGAAGGUCCCCCCACACUGGUACUGAGACACGGACCAGACUCCUACGGGAGGCAGCAGUGAGGAAUAUUGGUCAAUGGACGAGAGUCUGAACCAGCCAAGUCGCGUGCAGGAAGAAUGUCCCUAUGGAUUGUAAACUGCUUUUGCAGGGGAAUAAAGUGCAUCACGUGUGAUGUUUUGUAUGUACUCUGCGAAUAAGGAUCGGCUAACUCCGUGCCAGCCGCCGC